RNAcentral lists this unclassified non-coding RNA (809 nucleotides) under Hevea brasiliensis (rubber tree). Lineage: Eukaryota; Viridiplantae; Streptophyta; Magnoliopsida; Malpighiales; Euphorbiaceae. The record is from RNAcentral.
CUAAAAAAUAAAAAAUAAAAAAAAGAACAGAAAAGUGGAUUUACAAGUCAUAACCAUGCCUUCAUAAUUGUUAAAAAUAUUGUAAUGCUUAGUCUAUUUUGGUCCAUGUACACAUAAAGGCUACUAUAGGACAAUAUAAUAUACUAAGAGUAGAUGAGAAUGUAGGGUGAUGCUGUAGUCUAAAUAUUGUGAGAAAGGCUUAGAGGCAGACGGGAGAGGAGUAAUGUAAAGGAAUAUAAUAGGACAGGAAUGCGUCUGUGCUGCCACAUGGCACUUUCCAUUAAGAAAAUGGCCUACUAAUUAAUAGUUAUUUCCUAUUAAAGUGUAAUUCUUUCUAUGCAAUUAUUAUUAACUUGAAAAGCAUUAUUAAUACCAUUAUUAUAUCAAUUUUCAUUUUUUAAUUAAUUGCUUCCAUACUUCUAUUUGGUGUUCAAUAAUUUUAAGCAAGCAACAAUAAUUUCAUACUCUAAAUUCCGAUUAACACAACAUAUCACUCUCACCAUAUGUAAAUUUCAUCUCAAGAAUUUAGAGAGCUUGUGACGUAAAAGUCUCAUGAGAAAGUAUCUGAUCAAAGUUUAAGGUCCCAUAUAUUGAAGGUAAAUUAAACCCAUCAAAAUUAAAAUGCGACACAAGUUAUCAAAGUCUUUUGCUAUUAAAACUGCAGUUGUCAAAAUGUUGACAUCACAUUUACUUAUUUCAUUAUUUAAAAAUUAGUUUUUUUAAGAAAAUAUUAGAUAUUUCAUUCAUAUUUAUUUUAAUUUUUAAAUUUCUCUAAUUUUUCUUUUAAAUUUUUUACAUUAAUUUUAUUA